UGCGUGUGUGUGUGUGUGUGUGUGUGCAUGAGGGACAAAGACAGAGAGAGGUUACUUGAUGCUUUGUGUCAUGGUGUCAGGUGGCAUCAGCCUGUAGAUGGGAAGAUAAAAAUGAAAGACAAUCGAUAUCCGAGCACUGAAAUUGUUCUCAUCUGCUGCCGCCCUCUUGCACUACAUGUGUCCACGCACAUCUGCUGCUCUACCAUGUGGAAAACGGUUUGACUCGUAAACGAGAUGUUAUUCACAAAGUGAUGCCGUUGUACUGCUUUAAUGUCUGAUGCUGAAGUCAAAACGCAUGAAAAAGGAAAUGAUGUUGUGAAUGUGAAUUUUAAGCACAAACCAGUUACAGUUUGUUUCUCUCAAUGCGAUUGUAUUUUCCCUGUUAUAUCACAAAUGCUGCACAAGAAGCACAAUGAAUUAAUAAAUAACCACUUGGUUGUGUUUUCUAGGAGAAAAACAUUGGCCGGUCCGCUCCCAGAGUCACCAUGGUCCCCAUCAGCACAACUAUAACCAUGUGGCUCUAGGUAGCCCCACACGCACACCUAAGAAUGCUCACCGAUCACUGAGACGUGGUAAGUCAUACAGUACAUAUGUUUAAUUUAGUGUA
This 607-nucleotide long non-coding RNA is filed under the name Scophthalmus maximus (turbot). Its description in RNAcentral is "lncRNA (ENSSMAG00000028604.1)". Lineage: Eukaryota; Metazoa; Chordata; Actinopteri; Pleuronectiformes; Scophthalmidae. The record is from RNAcentral.